This 948-nucleotide ribosomal RNA is filed under the name Mallocybe pyrrhopoda. RNAcentral's name for it is "eukaryotic LSU rRNA". It matches the Rfam family "Eukaryotic large subunit ribosomal RNA", at positions 35 to 962 of the family's 3401-position model. The record is from RNAcentral. Lineage: Eukaryota; Fungi; Basidiomycota; Agaricomycetes; Agaricales; Inocybaceae.
UAAGCAUAUCAAUAAGCGGAGGAAAAGAAACUAACAAGGAUUCCCUUAGUAACUGCGAGUGAAAUGGGAAGAGCUCAAAUUUAAAAUCUGAUGGUCUUUAUGGCUGUCCGAGUUGUAAUCUAGAGAAGUGCUACCUGCGCUGGACCAUGUACAAGUCUCCUGGAAUGGAGCAUCAUAGAGGGUGAGAAUCCCGUCUUUGACAUGGACUUACCAGGGCUUUGUGGUGUGCUCUCAAAGAGUCGAGUUGUUUGGGAAUGCAGCUCAAAAUGGGUGGUAAAUGCCAUCUAAAGCUAAAUAUUGGCGAGAGACCGAUAGUGAACAAGUACCGUGAGGGAAAGAUGAAAAGAACUUUGGAAAGAGAGUUAAACAGUACGUGAAAUUGCUGAAAGGGAAACGCUUGAAGUCAGUCGCAUUGGCUGGAAAUCAACCACUGCUUUUGCUUGGUGUACUUUCUGGCUGAUGGGUCAGCAUCAAUUUUGAUCGUUGGAUAAAGGCUUUGGGAAUGUGGCAUCUUAGGAUGUGUUAUAGCCCUUGGUCGCAUACAGCGGUUGGGAUUGAGGAACUCAGCACGCCGCAAGGCUCGGGUUUUUACCACGUUUAUGUGCUUAGGAUGCUGGCAUAAUGGCUUUAAUCGACCCGUCUUGAAACACGGACCAAGGAGUCUAACAUGCAUGCAAGUGUUUGGGUGGAAAACCCAUGCGCGCAAUGAAAGUGAAAAGUUAAGAUCCCUGUCAUGGGGAGCAUUGACGCUCGGACCAGACCUUUUGUGACGGAUCCGCGGUAGAGCAUGUAUGUUGGGACCCGAAAGAUGGUGAACUAUGCCUGAAUAGGGUGAAGCCAGAGGAAACUCUGGUGGAGGCUCGUAGCGAUUCUGACGUGCAAAUCGAUCGUCAAAUUUGGGUAUAGGGGCGAAAGACUAAUCGAACCAUCUAGUAGCUGGUUCCUGCC